Molecule: long non-coding RNA, 419 nt
Organism: Malus domestica (apple)
Lineage: Eukaryota; Viridiplantae; Streptophyta; Magnoliopsida; Rosales; Rosaceae
Source: RefSeq, a predicted model, not a curated record
ACAAAUUAAACACCCCAAAUCAAAACCCUCACUUCUCGUCGAAAUCCAGUUCAGAAACUUCAUCUCCAUCUCGUCCUUCCUCGAUCUCCAGAAUCCAUGUUUCUUACACCAUUGAUGUUUAGGCCUCUGCUGAGGCUGCUAACAUCUUUAGCUACCAAUCCUGCUGCCUCAGUUUCGACGUUGCUCUACUACAGCGAGCUUCUUCCUCAGAACAUCAUCCUCGAAAGAUUGGUUCGACACGAACUGCUCGAUCGCGAAAAUUACCUGUUUCAUUUCCUCACCAACUUUUUGAGAUGUUUUUGGUAGGAACUAUCAAAUAGUCGUUCUAUAUUCUAAUAUAAGCUAAACCAUGAGGCGGGGAAAGUCCAGAAGACUAGUACAAAGUAAAAUGCAAUAAGGAGCUGACUAGUAAAAGCCCA